This 156-nucleotide ribosomal RNA is filed under the name Shiraia sp. RNAcentral describes it as "partial large subunit ribosomal RNA". The record is from RNAcentral. Lineage: Eukaryota; Fungi; Ascomycota; Dothideomycetes; Pleosporales; Shiraiaceae.
AAGCGCUUGCAGCUAGACUUGCCUGUAGUUGCUUAUCCAGACUUUUGUCUGGUGCACUCUUCUGCGGGCAGGCCAGCAUCAGUUUGGGCGGUUGGAUAAAGGGCUCUAUCACGUACCCCUCUUCGGGGGGGCCUUAUAGGGGAGUCGUCAUGCAAC